Molecule: ribosomal RNA, 497 nt
Filed under: uncultured bacterium
Lineage: Bacteria
Description: partial 16S ribosomal RNA
Rfam family: Bacterial small subunit ribosomal RNA
Source: RNAcentral
GAUGAACGCUGGCGGCGUGCCUAAUACAUGCAAGUCGAGCGAACGGACGAGAAGCUUGCUUUUCUGAUGUUAGCGGCGGACGGGUGAGUAACACGUGGAUAACCUACCUAUAAGACUGGGAUAACUUCGGGAAACCGGAGCUAAUACCGGAUAAUAUUUUGAACCGCAGGGUUCAAAAGUGAAAGACGGUCUUGCUGUCACUUAUAGAUGGAUCCGCGCUGCAUUAGCUAGUUGGUAAGGUAACGGCUUACCAAGGCAACGAUGCAUAGCCGACCUGAGAGGGUGAUCCGCCACCCUGGAACUGAGACACGGUCCAGACUCCUACGGGAGGCAGCAGUAGGGAAUCUUCCGCAAUGGGCGAAAGCCUGACGGAGCAACGCCGCGUGAGUGAUGAAGGUCCUCGGAUCGUAAAACUCUGUUAUUAGGGAAGAACAUAUGUGUAAGUAACUGUGCACAUCUUGACGGUACCUAAUCAGAAAGCCCCGGCUAACUACGUG